Helianthus annuus (common sunflower) is the source of this 780-nucleotide long non-coding RNA. RefSeq lists it as uncharacterized. The transcript has 2 exons. NCBI's taxonomy places the organism in Eukaryota, Viridiplantae, Streptophyta, Magnoliopsida, Asterales, Asteraceae. The record is from RefSeq and is a predicted model, not a curated record.
UAAAAUAGACAAUAAUAUUGAGAUGGAUGGUUAAAGUAGCAUUGCCUUAUGCAUAAUCUCAAAGUAUUAUUAUAAUCAAGUCUUAUAAUGAAGAUGAUGUUCAUAAGAGCAUCAAGCAUAUCGUUUGGGCGAGUACACAAGAUGGAAACAAGAAGCUUGAUGUUGCAUACCGUGAGGCUCAGCAGAAAUCUGAAACAUGCCCUGUUUUCCUUUUUUUCUCGGUUAAUUCAAGCGGAAAAUUUGUGGGGGUAGCAGAGAUGGUGGGGUUGUGUAGUGGAGGGUUGUGGUCGCCGGCAAGGUGGCCGGGAAAACUGGUCGGAGAAAAUAUGGGUGGAGCUGCUCAUUUUUGGGAGAAACAAUAAGUGGGCCCCACACACACAUAUAUAUCUAAUAAUUAUUAUUUAAUUUAAUGUGUUUUAUCAUUAAGGGCAAUUUAGUCAUUUAAUAAAGAUUCAACUGAGUAAACUAACAUUCAUCCACUUUAGGGACUACUCGAGUAACAAGUGAGCAAACCAUAGGGAGCAAACAUGCUAUUUUGGAAAGAUGGAGACUAAACGUGAAAAAAUGACAAACCACAGAGAUUAGCCGGGCAAUUAACUCUUACUUACAUGUGAUUAGAAUUGUAAUUUGAUAUCUAUACGACAUUUAAACGUUGAUUGCCAUGCUAAUGAACUUAUAUUGUAUUUCGUUGAAAUUAAGAACGUACUUUGUGUUGUUAAACUUGAUUUUGGUUUGUAAUGUAUUAGGCUGAGAUUAUUUUGGAUAUAUUCUUUUAAAUUA